CUCUCUUGCCACCAGUUUCCGGAACACGUCAAACUCCUCCUGUGUUGCAUUGGCAAUCUUUCCCAGGUAGACGUCUUCAGAGACACUCAGCACGUCUUUCAAGCGCGGAUUGAGUAUGAGCGUUUGACCCUUCUUGUCGGGGGUCUGGUAGAGUCCACGUCGCUCCAGGAAGCCGUGCCGACACCGCAGCUCCUCCGCGGAAAGCCUGAAGAGCUUCGCUUUCACCAUCUCGGCCUGGCGACAGCCCAUGCGGAAAUAUACAUACUGCAGGGAGAACAAGUACCUCCACACCUGACCAAAGAGAGUCCAGCUGUCACAUGCCCCCUUCGACACGCAAGCAGAACCGACCCAUCUUUUCACCUGGACGAGGUGAAUUUAUGUGGAGAUCUUGCACACCAUCAUCUUCCCUGCACUUACUGUGCAGGCACCAUUGAUCAGCCAGCAAAGCCAACAACUGCAGCAGUUAUGAGAUUUUCUGCAUUGACAGCAACAAAGUUACGGAGUAGACUGGACAUAAGGAGCACAAUUGGGGUGUAAUUGUCUCCCAUCACCUGUAGGUGGGAGCAUCAGCAGGGUUCCCACUAAUUUUCCAUAAUCGAUGGAGCAGACUGUUGCUACAAAGGCUUCCUUGUUCCAGCAAGACUAAGCACAUGUAAACAAAGAGCGGCCCAUAAAAAACAUGGUUUGAGAAGUCAGGUGUCCACAUACUUCUAACCAUAUAGUGUACAAUGCAUACACACAAAUGCUGCUACCUGUGGAGAUGCCACACGGGGGGUCGAGUUUGGCCUGCAUGGUCUCCUCCACGCCGCAGAAAGGAUUUUCACUGAAGAGCAGGGUGUAUAGUAGCACUCCCAGAGACCACAUCUCCAGUUCUGGUCCUUCAUAUCUACAGUUGCAACAAGAGUUUCAACCACAUCAUAUCAGAACUCAAGGAAUGACAAUGAGAUCCAAGGAGAAACAUUUCCCCCCCCCCCCACUGGCCUACAAAACAGCUUGGUAAGUUUAUUAAAUCCAAAACGAGCAGUGGUGUAAACAAUACCAGUGAGUGUUCCUACACGUAACCAUAGUUACCUUAGCACACAGACCAAACCAUAAGAAAUUGAUAUUCCUAAAAUAAUAAAUUACUCGA
Molecule: long non-coding RNA, 1129 nt
Organism: Trichomycterus rosablanca
Lineage: Eukaryota; Metazoa; Chordata; Actinopteri; Siluriformes; Trichomycteridae
Exons: 4
Source: RefSeq, a predicted model, not a curated record